This 216-nucleotide ribosomal RNA is filed under the name Glomeromycotina sp. RNAcentral describes it as "partial small subunit ribosomal RNA". The stretch from base 54 to 216 matches the Rfam family "Eukaryotic small subunit ribosomal RNA", at positions 700 to 864 of the family's 1831-position model. Lineage: Eukaryota; Fungi; Glomeromycota. The record is from RNAcentral.
GGGUCAGUAGGUUGGUCGUGCCACCGGUACGUACUGGUCUCACUGAUCCCUCCUUCCUGAAGAACCGUAAUGCCAUUAAUUUGGUGUUGCGGGGAAACAGGACUGUUACUUUGAAAAAAUUAGAGUGUUUAAAGCAAGCUAACGCUUGAAUACAUUAGCAUGGAAUAAUGAAAUAGGACAAUCGAUCCUAUUUUGUUGGUUUCUAGGAUUGACGUA